Molecule: long non-coding RNA, 1009 nt
Organism: Cyprinus carpio carpio
Lineage: Eukaryota; Metazoa; Chordata; Actinopteri; Cypriniformes; Cyprinidae
Source: Ensembl
GGACUGGCAGGAAAAGCAAUGAUGAGUAAAGCUCAAGUUCUCCUUUAUGAGCCCCUCGUCUAACAACCGCAUUUGAUUACAGUAAGGCUCAGAGUUGAGGAACUUUUUUCAGGAUUACUGCCAGUUUCCUCCAGCACACACACACACACACACUGCUGGAUGCUGGAGCGUCUCUGUGAAAGCGGAGUGGGCUGAGACUAUAAUGAGAGCGGUAUGAAGGGAUGAUGUUGAAGACUGGCCGAGCCAGUCAGGGAUAAACAGUGGGGAGUUUCCUUCAGAUUCUACGAUCUGCUCUUCUGGUUUGUCUCUGUUCGGCAGUCCAAUCUGCUUUGAUCCUGGAGAAGCUAAAAGAGGCUAUAAAAAGCCUAAUAACCUCGCUGGACCCCACAACUAUCCUCCUGGCAUGGAUCGCUGGACAUUUCAGAAGAGCAAGGAAUAUUAGGACUGGAGAAUUACAGUCCUUCUUUGGAGUUUGUGAAGCUUAUGGAUUCCACCUCACGCCAGACUGCACUUUAUUUUGCAAGAAUUUGAUGCGGUCUGUUUGACCCAUCCUUGUUUCAUGUGGCAGCAACCCUUUACACUUCCUUCCCCACAUACUGUAAAGCAAAUUACUUAAUUUAGUGAUAUGAGAAACAUCAGACAGAGACAAAAGCCAAAUGGAGGACGUCAUAGGAAAUGGGUUUUAAUAAAACAUCCUUCAAAGGCAUUUUGAAAUGAUUACACAUGACUAAUGAUUUCAUAAAAUGACUUAAUUAAGUUCACUCUCCUUGGGUGGCAAGUAAAUGCACAAAUAAAGGGUUGCAUAGGCCUAAUAAAUUGUAAAACCUAAAACAGCCAACAUGGAAGUGAUUCAAAUUGCAUGUAUACUGCUACACCACUUUUCCUGACUUGUAUCAUGGUAAUGCUGUGGUAUUCUUAAAGUACCUCAGAGUACCAUGCAAGUGCAAUUUUUUGUUCUAUGUCUGUAUGGUGUUGGUAUGGUCCAUCAGAGAACAUCACUAUACUCUGG